RNAcentral lists this ribosomal RNA (331 nucleotides) under uncultured eukaryote. RNAcentral's name for it is "partial 18S ribosomal RNA". It matches the Rfam family "Eukaryotic small subunit ribosomal RNA", at positions 1470 to 1796 of the family's 1831-position model. The record is from RNAcentral.
CCCUUAGAUGUUCUGGGCCGCACGCGCGCUACACUGAUGCAUUCAACGAGUCUAAAACCUGCUCUGAUAGGGGUGGGUAAUCUUUUGAAUGUGCAUCGUGAUUGGGAUAGAUGAUUGCAAUUUUUCAUCUUCAACGAGGAAUGCCUAGUAAACGCAAGUCAUCAGCUUGCAUUGAUUACGUCCCUGCCCUUUGUACACACCGCCCGUCGCUACUACCGAUUGAAUGGUUUAGUGAGGACUCCUGAUUGGCGCCGCCGCCCCGGCAACGGAGCAGCGGACUGCCGAAAAGUUGUUCAAACUUGAUCAUUUAGAGGAAGUAAAAGUCGUAACA